This 495-nucleotide ribosomal RNA is filed under the name uncultured Actinomycetes bacterium. RNAcentral describes it as "bacterial SSU rRNA". It matches the Rfam family "Bacterial small subunit ribosomal RNA", at positions 392 to 896 of the family's 1533-position model. Lineage: Bacteria; Bacillati; Actinomycetota; Actinomycetes. The record is from RNAcentral.
CGACGCCGCGUGAGGGAUGACGGCCUUCGGGUUGUAAACCUCUUUCAGCAGGGAAGAAGCGCAAGUGACGGUACCUGCAGAAGAAGCGCCGGCUAACUACGUGCCAGCAGCCGCGGUAAUACGUAGGGCGCAAGCGUUGUCCGGAAUUAUUUGGGCGUAAAGAGCUCGUAGGCGGUUUGUCGCGUCUGCUGUGAAAACGCGAGGCUCAACCUCGCGCCUGCAGUGGGUACGGGCAGACUAGAGUGCGGUAGGGGAGACUGGAAUUCCUGGUGUAGCGGUGGAAUGCGCAGAUAUCAGGAGGAACACCGGUGGCGAAGGCGGGUCUCUGGGCCGUAACUGACGCUGAGGAGCGAAAGCAUGGGGAGCGAACAGGAUUAGAUACCCUGGUAGUCCAUGCCGUAAACGUUGGGCACUAGGUGUGGGGCUCAUUCCACGAGCUCCAUGCCGCAGCAAACGCAUUAAGUGCCCCGCCUGGGGAGUACGGCCGCAAGGCUA